RNAcentral lists this ribosomal RNA (571 nucleotides) under Auricularia auricula-judae (jelly ear fungus). Its description in RNAcentral is "eukaryotic LSU rRNA". The stretch from base 158 to 311 matches the Rfam family "5.8S ribosomal RNA". The record is from RNAcentral. Lineage: Eukaryota; Fungi; Basidiomycota; Agaricomycetes; Auriculariales; Auriculariaceae.
CUAAGUUCUAGCGCUUCGGUCUUAUUUCGGCUGUGCGCUCAGGCUGCACGCCGAUAACCUCUCACACCUGUGCACCUUUUCGGUUGCGGUUUCGGCCGCUUCCGCUUUUACAUGCAACCACGAAAAGUCUAGAAUGUGACGAGAACUAUAAAGUAACAACUUUCAACAACGGAUCUCUUGGCUCUCGCAUCGAUGAAGAACGCAGCGAAAUGCGAUAAGUAAUGUGAAUUGCAGAAUUCAGUGAAUCAUCGAAUCUUUGAACGCACCUUGCGCUCCUUGGUAUUCCAUGGAGCAUGCCUGUUUGAGUGUCACGUAAACCCUCACCCCUGCGAUGUAACAGUCGCCUGCGGUGGACUUGGACCGUGCCGGUAAUCGGCUCGUCUUGAAAUGCAUUAGCUGGCGCUUUUAGAGUGCUGGGCGAACGGUGUGAUAAUUAUCUGCGCCGACUGCCCUGGGCCUCUUCAGCGGCGCUGCUUACAGCCGUCCCUUGUGGACAACUAUUUUAAAGCUUUGGCCUCAAAUCAGGUAGGACUACCCGCUGAACUUAAGCAUAUCAAUAAGCGGAGGAAUA